Molecule: ribosomal RNA, 500 nt
Filed under: uncultured bacterium
Lineage: Bacteria
Description: partial 16S ribosomal RNA
Rfam family: Bacterial small subunit ribosomal RNA
Source: RNAcentral
AUUGAACGCUGGCGGCAUGCCUUACACAUGCAAGUCGAACGGCAGCACGGGAGUAAUCCUGGUGGCGAGUGGCGAACGGGUGAGUAAUAUAUCGGAACGUGCCCAGUCGUGGGGGAUAACGCAGCGAAAGCUGUGCUAAUACCGCAUACGAUCUCUGGAUGAAAGCGGGGGACCGUAAGGCCUCGCGCGAUUGGAGCGGCCGAUAUCAGAUUAGCUAGUUGGUGGGGUAAAGGCCCACCAAGGCGACGAUCUGUAGCUGGUCUGAGAGGACGACCAGCCACACUGGAACUGAGACACGGUCCAGACUCCUACGGGAGGCAGCAGUGGGGAAUUUUGGACAAUGGGCGCAAGCCUGAUCCAGCAAUGCCGCGUGCAGGAUGAAGGCCUUCGGGUUGUAAACUGCUUUUGUACGGAACGAAACGGCGAGCUCUAAUAAAGUUUGCUAAUGACGGUACCGUAAGAAUAAGCACCGGCUAACUACGUGCCAGCCGCCGCCGUAA